RNAcentral lists this ribosomal RNA (443 nucleotides) under Serratia symbiotica. RNAcentral describes it as "bacterial SSU rRNA". It matches the Rfam family "Bacterial small subunit ribosomal RNA", at positions 21 to 460 of the family's 1533-position model. Lineage: Bacteria; Pseudomonadati; Pseudomonadota; Gammaproteobacteria; Enterobacterales; Yersiniaceae. The record is from RNAcentral.
GGCUCAGAUUAAACGCUGGCGGCAGGCCUAACACAUGCAAGUCGAGCGGUAGCACAAGAGAGCUUGCUCUCUGGGUGACGAGCGGCGGACGGGUGAGUAAUGUUUGGGAAACUGCCUGAUGGUGGGGGAUAACUAGUGGAAACGGUAGCUAAUACCGCAUAAUGUCGCAAGACCAAAGUGGGGGACCUUCGGGCCUCACGCCAUCAGAUGUGCCCAGAUGGGAUUAGCUGUUAGGUGGGGUAAUGGCUCACCUAGGCGACGAUCCCUAGCUGGUCUGAGAGGAUGACCAGCCACACUGGAACUGAGACACGGUCCAGACUCCUACGGGAGGCAGCAGUGGGGAAUAUUGCACAAUGGGCGCAAGCCUGAUGCAGCCAUGCCGCGUGUGUGAAGAAGGCCUUCGGGUUGUAAAGCACUUUCAGCGAGGAGGAAGGGUAAUGUGU